GCCUGUGUUGGUGCGGGAAUAGAGGAUCCAUGGAUGACAGUGGACAACCCUCUCGCGAUUUUGUAAACAGCAGGUCAGGAGUUCGAGUCUCCUCGUAGGCU
Molecule: transfer RNA, 101 nt
Filed under: Chloroflexia bacterium
Lineage: Bacteria; Bacillati; Chloroflexota; Chloroflexia
Description: tRNA-Thr
Source: RNAcentral